CAAGAAUGUAUCCUCUCAUCGAUUCACUUUCCCGUAUUUUUCUAUGCAUCUGUUUCUACAUAAAAUUGCAAGGUCCAGAAGAAGCACAAAUAUGAUGAUUUGAAACCCAAUAGACCAUAAAAGAAGGAUGAGGAAGAUAGAGGGAAAUCAAAGAAAUCACUUUUUAUAAAAGUCUAUAGUGCAUGGAUUUAUGUCAUAUGAUGUUGCUCGGAUAUUGAAUCGUCCUCACCACAGCUCAGUUGUGGCUUAUCUCAGCCGAGAAUAUAGGAAAAGGUAAUGCGUUUUAUUAUUUCAUUGAAGUGAAUGUCUCUUUACCUUAUUAGUUAUUGGAUACUCGUAAGCAAGAAAAACUUAUAUUGAGUUUGUAAGCUUUGUUAGACGAUGCUAGUCCAUCCCGAAAAGUACGGAUAGUGAGAUAGUAGUUGAAGCUUUUAAGAACUGCAGAACCCAUAUGACGUAAUGAUUGUGGUUCAUCAUUUGUAUUGGUGCAUCGAGAUCCUCCAUCUCUGAUCUCACUAGCUGUUUUCUAUUGGUUAUCAAGAUGGCAAAAGGAGAACCUCCCCUAGCUGACCUUCAUCCUAUGAGAGUGCUUUUUAUCAUUCCUCGAGAAAAUCCUCCUCAGUUAGACGAGCACUUUUCCCGUCCAGUGAAGGAGUUUGUUUCAUUAUCCUUUACAAAAGUCCCUGUUGAGAGACCGAGUGCCAAAGAACUUAUUAAACACAGAUUUAUUAAGAACCCAUAUCGACAUAAAACACAACCAGAGUUCUGAGAGAGUUGCUUCAUAUUUUGUGCAAUGUUCUUCAUGACUCAGGAGGAUGAUAAAGCUGAGGCUCCGGAGGAUGAGAUGGUUGUGAAAGGGCAUGAUGUAGAGAAGAAACAUAAUUGGAACCAGAGUUUGAAAAACAGAAGGAGAGGAAGCAGAAAGCUUUGAAGGAGAAAGAGAUGGAUAAUGCUGCAUACAAUUAUUUCGAAACUUCUAAUAAGCCUUACUCCAAAAAGGCAUUAGGGAGAAACAGAAACAGGAAGAGGUGAAGCGUUUAAAUAAGGGGGCUGCUGAGACAGAGAGGAAUCACAUAGAAGAAUAAGAAGAAUAGACCCAGGAGAGAACAUAGCCUCAAGCUUCAUAGAGAGAGAGUCUGCUAGACUGAGAAUGAGACAAGAAAAGGCACUUAUACUUGACGGAUCUGAGAAAGGACCUGAUGCUAUACAUAAGGCACAUAUUAUGAAGAAAAAAGGGAUCUUAUGAGUGUGCUCAUGCUUGAUGAAAAGAUUUUUCCUCAAGUUAUGAACAACUCAUGUGUAUCUUGCAAGGGUUCUGACAGAAUCAAGAUAUCUUGAAACGAAAACCCAACUGCAAGUCAUUAUGAUCCGCUGCAACAAGCACAUCCAUUGGAGGAGACAAUUACUGCACAUGUUGAGCCUGCUUGCGGUGGGAGGACUGUUGAGGAGCCACUCGUUCUAGCAUUUGAGUGCUUGCUCAAAAAGGCUCGCAAGACUUAACCUACCAAGUUAGAAAGAUUUAAAUACUAUUCUAUACUUGCAAUCCUUGAUUUCAUAUAUUAUGUGUGCAAAUG
Long non-coding RNA from Brassica oleracea var. oleracea, 1574 nucleotides. RefSeq lists it as uncharacterized. NCBI's taxonomy places the organism in Eukaryota, Viridiplantae, Streptophyta, Magnoliopsida, Brassicales, Brassicaceae. The transcript has 7 exons. The record is from RefSeq and is a predicted model, not a curated record.